GCAAGUCGAACGAGAAGCAGGAGCUUGCUCCUGUGGAAAGUGGCAGACGGGUGAGUAACGCGUGGGAAUUUACCCAUUGGUACGGAAUAACUCAGGGAAACUUGUGCUAAUACCGUAUAAGCCCUUCGGGGGAAAGAUUUAUCGCCAAUGGAUGAGCCCGCGUUAGAUUAGUUUGUUGGUGGGGUAAUGGCCUACCAAGACUAUGAUCAAUAGCUGAUUUGAGAGGAUGAUC
Molecule: ribosomal RNA, 232 nt
Filed under: uncultured bacterium
Lineage: Bacteria
Description: partial 16S ribosomal RNA
Rfam family: Bacterial small subunit ribosomal RNA
Source: RNAcentral